CGAGUCGAGAGGUGCAAGACCUCGGCAUACUGCUCAGUAACACGUGGACAACCUACCCUGGAGGAGGGGGAUAACCCCGGAAAACUGGGGAUAAUACCCCAUAGGCCAGGGAUGCUGGAAUGCCUCCUGGUUGAAAGGUCCGCCGCCUCAGGAUGGGUCUGCGGCCGAUUAGGUUGUUGUUGGGGUAACGGCCCAACAAGCCAUUGAUCGGUACGGGUUGUGGGAGCAAGAGCCCGGAGAUGGAUUCUGAGACACGAAUCCAGGCCCUACGGGGCGCAGCAGGCGCGAAAACUUUACAAUGCGAGAAAUCGUGAUAAGGGAACCCCGAGUGCCCGUAAAUUCGGGCUGUCCAUCAGUGUAAAUAACUGGUGAAGAAAGGGCCGGGCAAGACCGGUGCCAGCCGCCGCGGUAAUACCGGCGGCUCGAGUGGUGGCCGCUAUUAUUGGGCUUAAAGCGUCCGUAGCUGGGUUGUUAAGUCUCCUGGGAAAUCCACCGGCUCAACCGGUGGGCGUUCGGGAGAAACUGGCAACCUAGGGACCGGGAGAGGUGAGAGGUACUCCAGGGGUAGGAGUGAAAUCCUGUAAUCCUUGGGGGACCACCUGUGGCGAAGGCGUCUCACUAGAACGGCUCC
RNAcentral lists this ribosomal RNA (631 nucleotides) under uncultured Methanomicrobiaceae archaeon. RNAcentral's name for it is "bacterial SSU rRNA". It matches the Rfam family "Archaeal small subunit ribosomal RNA", at positions 54 to 692 of the family's 1478-position model. The record is from RNAcentral. Lineage: Archaea; Methanobacteriati; Methanobacteriota; Methanomicrobia; Methanomicrobiales; Methanomicrobiaceae.